UCAGGAGAUAGUUUAAUAAAAACCGCAGCUUUGGGAGUUGCAAAUGUAAGUGUGAGCCUUAUUCUCUUGAA
RNAcentral lists this transfer RNA (71 nucleotides) under Strongylocentrotus intermedius. Its description in RNAcentral is "tRNA-Pro". It matches the Rfam family "tRNA". Rfam says of the family: Transfer RNA (tRNA) molecules are approximately 80 nucleotides in length. Their secondary structure includes four short double-helical elements and three loops (D, anti-codon, and T loops). Lineage: Eukaryota; Metazoa; Echinodermata; Echinoidea; Camarodonta; Strongylocentrotidae. The record is from RNAcentral.